Molecule: ribosomal RNA, 325 nt
Filed under: uncultured eukaryote
Lineage: Eukaryota
Description: partial 18S ribosomal RNA
Rfam family: Eukaryotic small subunit ribosomal RNA
Source: RNAcentral
CCCUUAGACGUCCUGGGCCGCACGCGCGCUACACUGAUGCAUUCAACGAGUUUUACCUUGGCCGAGAGGCCUGGGCAAUCUUUUAAACCUGCAUCGUGAUAGGGAUAGAUUAUUGCAAUUAUUAAUCUUGAACGAGGAAUUCCUAGUAAACGCAAAUCAUCAAUUUGCAUUGAUUACGUCCCUGCCCUUUGUACACACCGCCCGUCGCACCUACCGAUUGAAUGGUCCGGUGAAGCCUCGGGAUUGUGGCCAGUUCACUUUAUUGGGAGUUGGCUGUGAGAACUUGUCUAAACCUUAUCAUUUAGAGGAAGGUGAGGUCGUAACA